This 433-nucleotide ribosomal RNA is filed under the name uncultured bacterium. RNAcentral describes it as "partial 16S ribosomal RNA". It matches the Rfam family "Bacterial small subunit ribosomal RNA", at positions 29 to 507 of the family's 1533-position model. The record is from RNAcentral.
AACGAACGCUGGCGGCAUGCCUAACACAUGCAAGUCGAACGAGACCUUCGGGUCUAGUGGCGCACGUGUGCGUAACGCGUGGGAACCUGCCCUUAGGUUCGGAAUAACUCCCCGAAAGGGGUGCUAAUACCGGAUAAUGUCUUCGGACCAAAGAUUUAUCGCCUUUGGAUGGGCCCGCGUUGGAUUAGCUAGUUGGUAGGGUAAAAGCCUACCAAGGCGACGAUCCAUAGCUGGUCUGAGAGGAUGAUCAGCCACACUGGGACUGAGACACGGCCCAGACUCCUACGGGAGGCAGCAGUGGGGAAUAUUGGACAAUGGGCGAAAGUCUGAUCCAGCAAUGCCGCGUGAGUGAUGAAGGCCUUAGGGUUGUAAAGCUCUUUUACCCGGGAUGAUAAUGACAGUACCGGGAGAAUAAGCUCCGGCUAACUCCGUG